AUUGAACGCUGGCGGAAUGCUUUACACAUGCAAGUCGAACGGCGGCACGGGGGCAGCCCUGGUGGCGAGUGGCGAACGGGUGAGUAAUACAUCGGAACGUGCCCGGUCGUGGGGGAUAACGUAGCGAAAGUUACGCUAAUACCGCAUACGAUCUGAGGAUGAAAGCGGGGGACCUUCGGGCCUCGCGCGAUCGGAGCGGCCGAUGUCAGAUUAGGUAGUUGGUGGGGUAAAGGCCUACCAAGCCGACGAUCUGUAGCUGGUCUGAGAGGACGACCAGCCACACUGGGACUGAGACACGGCCCAGACUCCUACGGGAGGCAGCAGUGGGGAAUUUUGGACAAAGGGCGCAAGCCUGAUCCAGCCAUUCCGCGUGCAGGACGAAGGCCUUCGGGUUGUAAACUGCUUUUGUACGGAACGAAAAGGCUCUGGCUAAUACCUGGGGCUCAUGACGGUACCGUAAGAAUAAGCACCGGCUAACUACGUG
This 484-nucleotide ribosomal RNA is filed under the name uncultured bacterium. Its description in RNAcentral is "partial 16S ribosomal RNA". It matches the Rfam family "Bacterial small subunit ribosomal RNA", at positions 29 to 507 of the family's 1533-position model. The record is from RNAcentral.